AUGGUGGCAAUGGAAGGAGCUGUGGGUGCGUGGGCAUGGUGGCUGGGCCUCCUGUUCGGCGCCGUCCCGCUGCUCUGCCUCGCCGUGUGGCACUCCACCGACGCAUGGUACUGCGCCGCGUUCGCUCUCAAAUACCGCGGCCAUGGGAGCAAUGGCAUCCGGCGGCGCCUCCCGCCGGGCCACAUGGGUGUCCCCUUUCUGGGAGAGACGCUCUCGCUGCUCUGGUACUUCAAGCUGGCACGCCGCCCGGACGACUUCAUCGGCGCCAAGAAGAGCGCGUACGGCAGCGCGGCAGGGAUGUACAGGACGCAUCUGUUCGGCUCCCCCAGCAUCAUCGCCUGCUCGCCGGCCGCGAACAAGUUCGUGCUGCAGUCACCCGAAAGCUUCGGCAUCAGGUGGCCGGUGCCGGAGCUCGUCGGCAUCACGUCGGUGGUGAACGUGGAGGGCAGCAGCCACGCCAGACUCCGUGGGUUCAUCCUCGCCGCCAUCAACCGGCCCAGCUCGCUCCAGACCAUCGCCACCGUUGUGCAACCGCGCGUCGUAGCGGCGCUGCGAACGUGGGCGGAUAAGGGUACCAUCGUCGCCGCCACAGAGAUUAAAAAGGUAAUUUCUAGACAAAAUUAA
This 624-nucleotide ribosomal RNA is filed under the name Triticum aestivum (bread wheat). RNAcentral describes it as "partial small subunit ribosomal RNA". The record is from RNAcentral. Lineage: Eukaryota; Viridiplantae; Streptophyta; Magnoliopsida; Poales; Poaceae.